Molecule: ribosomal RNA, 463 nt
Filed under: uncultured bacterium
Lineage: Bacteria
Description: partial 16S ribosomal RNA
Rfam family: Bacterial small subunit ribosomal RNA
Source: RNAcentral
CUACGGGAUGCUGCAGUGGGGAAUAUUGCACAAUGGGCGCAAGCCUGAUGCAGCCAUGCCGCGUGUAUGAAGAAGGCCUUCGGGUUGUAAAGUACUUUCAGCGGGGAGGAAGGGAGUAAAGUUAAUACCUUUGCUCAUUGACGUUACCCGCAGAAGAAGCACCGGCAACUCCGUGCCAGCAGCCGCGGUAAUACGGAGGGUGCAAGCGUUAAUCGGAAUUGCUGGGCGUAAAGCGCACGCAGGCGGUUUGUUAAGUCGGAUGUGAAAUCCCCGGGCUCAACCUGGGAACUGCAUCUGAUACUGGCAAGCUUGAGUCUCGUAGAGGGGGGUAGAAUUCCAGGUGUAGCGGUGAAAUGCGUAGAGAUCUGGAGGAAUACCGGUGGCGAAGGCGGCCCCCUGGACGAAGACUGACGCUCAGGUGCGAAAGCGUGGGGAGCAAACAGGAUUAGAUACCCCAGUAGUC